Molecule: ribosomal RNA, 403 nt
Filed under: bacterium
Lineage: Bacteria
Description: partial 16S ribosomal RNA
Rfam family: Bacterial small subunit ribosomal RNA
Source: RNAcentral
UGGGGAAUAUUGCACAAUGGGGGAAACCCUGAUGCAGCGACGCCGCGUGAACGAAGAAGGUAUUCGUAUCGUAAAGUUCUGUCCUAUCGGAAGAUAAUGACAGUACCAUAGAAGAAAGCUCCGGCUAAAUACGUGCCAGCAGCCGCGGUAAUACGUAUGGAGCGAGCGUUGUCCGGAAUUAUUGGGCGUAAAGGGUACGCAGGCGGUUUAAUAAGUCGAAUGUUAAAGAUCGGGGCUCAACCCCGUAAAGCAUUGGAAACUGAUAAACUUGAGUAGUGGAGAGGAUAGUGGAAUUCCUAGUGUAGUGGUGAAAUACGUAGAUAUUAGGAGGAAUACCAGUAGCGAAGGCGACUUUCUGGACACAAACUGACGCUGAGGUACGAAAGCGUGGGGAGCAAACAGG